AUAUUACCAACGCCAGGCAUUAAAUACCAACAUGGUUGACCCCUUCUAGUCUUGGAAGCAUCCAUAAUGUCAUCAGCAAUAAGGAAAAAAGAUUGAAGCAACUCGACCAUCCAUCCCAAAACAGCUGCUUUCAUGUACGCUGCUUCGUCCAAAGGAUGUCCAAGAAGAAUUUCAUAACUGUCAAUAACAGAUAAUCCACGAUUAUACUUUCCACCUAAUGUGUUAUGGAAAAGACUCUACAAAAACAGCAGUUAGUCAUGUGUUAUUCGAGGUUCCCAAAAAGAAAUAAAAAAUUGAUGUGAUCUAAUUAAAAUACAGAUGAUAUGACACGAUGCCGAUGCAAUAAAAACAGCGCAAAGUAUAACACUUUUUUUUUAAGAGAUCAAUGUUUUAGAAACAUUCAUUGACAUUGGAAAAUAUUGUAACUCUACACUCACAUACAUUCUUGUACCAUUCUGUGACAUCGUCAGGAAUAUUGAUAGUUUUGAGAUAAUUGACGAUUUCAUCAACAAAAACUGGCAAAGCAGAUUCGAAUUUUGCUCUUUUAUCAACUGCAGACAUCUAAGAAUUUGGUUAGGGUUUCAAUGAAAUAACAAAUGCGUUUUGCAUCAAACAAUAAUCAUACAAAAGCGUAACCCUCGGUUGUCAGGAACAAAAUUCCAAUACCUUGAGCUGCUAAAUAGCAAAACGCACGAACAUUUUUCAAUGUUUAAAAAAUUUAUCACUUACAACGAAGAACUUGAAAACUCAAAACUACUUCAAAAAAAAAGGAAACUAGUCAAUGGUAGACGAUGCGAUUAAACUAACCUAGUGGAUGCGCUACAUAACGAUGGCUCGCGUAUGCAUGCUGCCAUUGUUUGUUACUUAAUUCUAGGUAACGAACAAAUUGUGACCAAAAGUCA
This is a non-coding RNA of Schizosaccharomyces pombe (fission yeast), 902 nucleotides long. The record is from the annotation of a GenBank genome assembly. Lineage: Eukaryota; Fungi; Ascomycota; Schizosaccharomycetes; Schizosaccharomycetales; Schizosaccharomycetaceae.